This is a long non-coding RNA of Carassius gibelio (silver crucian carp), 1112 nucleotides long. RefSeq lists it as uncharacterized. Lineage: Eukaryota; Metazoa; Chordata; Actinopteri; Cypriniformes; Cyprinidae. The transcript has 4 exons. The record is from RefSeq and is a predicted model, not a curated record.
UUGGACAGCUUUCCAUGACCUCUUGUGAGAUCUCGGCAAAAAGUCUGACGAUUUAUUCCAAAACAUGAUGCAUGAUGGGAUACACUAAGCUUUGUAUAGCGCUCCAGAGCAGUAUUGGAGAGGUUUAGUGUGUGUUAAGGACGCUGUGCUUUGGCAUUAUUAAGACCGGGGACAGUCUUGUGCACACACUGUCACGUACACACACUCUCAAGUGGCCAAGACUGCAAGUGUGGGUAUCUGGACAGGGUCAAAGUCUUAAAAAUGAUCCCUAAACACAUCACAGUCUUAAUAAUCCAGUUUAACACUUGUAUGAUAUUGUACAAGCCCCAGGACUGUCUCAUCUGACACUAUCAAAGAAUUCAUAUGACUAUAGCUUGUUAUUAAUUACUUGCUUUCAAUAAUGGAUUCAUUUAACAUUUAAUUAUACAGCAUCUUUACAGAGGUGUAAUGUACAAGCUGCACGUAAUUAAUAAUAUGUCCUUCCUUCUGUCUUACAGGAUUUUUUCCAGAUAAUGCUGUUCUUCUUUUUCAGGUCUAAAAUAUCGAGCUCAACAGCUAUUUUAAGAGCCAACCCUCACAAACCUUCCUAAAACCUAAAAGAGCUAUUACUGAGUCUCAGCGAAUCUUGCCAUGAUCAGCUCUUCCCAGAAGAGAAGGAAGACCAAGGAUAUGAUUUGCUCAGGAUGAGGAAUGAAGAUGGCCAUCUUGAGCUCAAACAAACAGAAGUCCUCUGAUGAUCUCAUCAGCCAAAUGAGGGGUUUUGACCAAGUGAUGCUCUUGAAAGGAGUGAAAGAAGAGGAUGUGGUAAAUUGUCUUCAGAGAAAAGCUUCUCAAAAGAUCUUAAAACAGCUUGAAGAAUGGUCUGGGAUCUUAGGACUGAGAGAUCAUCUGGCUGAGAACAAGCUACACCUCAUCAGUGCUGGACAUCAACCACAAACUGUUUCCAGACACGAGAGAAGAAGAUCACGAUGGGGAGAUGAAACCAGUUUAGAUGUGAUGAUGGGAAUCAUUAUUUUCUGAAACAGUAUCACAUGUCUUAUAUGUAUCACAUGAUCUGUAUCACAGUUGACUGGAUUGGACUGUGUGACUUUUAAGGACAUUUCAUCACUCAU